This 311-nucleotide small nuclear RNA is filed under the name Aotus nancymaae (Ma's night monkey). Its description in RNAcentral is "7SK RNA (ENSANAG00000008114.1)". It matches the Rfam family "7SK RNA". Rfam says of the family: 7SK was discovered as an abundant small nuclear RNA in the mid-70s but a possible function has only recently been suggested. The record is from Rfam by way of RNAcentral. Lineage: Eukaryota; Metazoa; Chordata; Mammalia; Primates; Aotidae.
GGAUGUGAGGGCGAUCUGGCUGUGACAUCUGUCACCCCACUGACCCCCAGGGUUGAUUCAGCUGAUCUGGAUGGCUAGGCGGGUGUCCCCUUCCUCCCCCAGCACUCCAUAUACAUCCCUCCCAAAGCUGUACACUCGGUUGAAGAGGAGGACCUUCCCGAUAGAGGAGGACUAGUCUUCAGUCAAGGGUAUAGGAGUAGCUGCACUCCCCUGCCAGAACCCCCAAACAAGCUCCCAAAAGGACAUCUGGAAAAUAAACAUGCACAUGACUAAUCAUCAGAGAAACACAAGCUGAAACAUUGUGAUAUCAC